This 468-nucleotide ribosomal RNA is filed under the name uncultured bacterium. RNAcentral's name for it is "partial 16S ribosomal RNA". It matches the Rfam family "Bacterial small subunit ribosomal RNA", at positions 28 to 507 of the family's 1533-position model. The record is from RNAcentral.
GACGAACGCUGGCGGCGUGCUUAACACAUGCAAGUCAAACGGAAAGGCCCUGCUUUUGUGGGGUGCUCGAGUGGCGAACGGGUGAGUAACACGUGAGUAACCUGCCCUUGACUUUGGGAUAACUUCAGGAAACUGGGGCUAAUACCGGAUAGGAGCUCCUGCUGCAUGGUGGGGGUUGGAAAGUUUCGGCGGUUGGGGAUGGACUCGCGGCUUAUCAGCUUGUUGGUGGGGUAGUGGCUUACCAAGGCUUUGACGGGUAGCCGGCCUGAGAGGGUGACCGGCCACAUUGGGACUGAGAUACGGCCCAGACUCCUACGGGAGGCAGCAGUGGGGAAUAUUGCACAAUGGGCGGAAGCCUGAUGCAGCAACGCCGCGUGCGGGAUGACGGCCUUCGGGUUGUAAACCGCUUUCGCCUGUGACGAAGCGUGAGUGACGGUAGUGGGUAAAGAAGCACCGGCUAACUACGUG